CGCCUUUCGCGUUAUGAUUAUGAAAGGUUGUACCUGCCCAAUGGUUCCGAAAGACGGAAUUCAAUGGUUGCAGCUAAAUGCUGUACUAAGGUAGCGUAAUAAGUUGCCUCUUAAUUGGGGGCUAGUAUGAAGGGUUUGACGUAAAAAAAGUUGUCUCUGAGAUAAUAUUGUGAAGUUUUUUUUCUGGUGAAAAAUCUAGGAUUUAAUUAAAAGACGAGAAGACCCUGUCGAGCUUGAUAAAACGUAUAGAGUGUUAUACUAAUAAGUUUAGCUGGGGCAGUUCGGAACAAAAAAAAGUUCUGUUUAUAAUUGUGGAUCCGACUAUUGUCGAAUGAAGAAAAAGCUACCGCAGGGAUAACAGCGUAAUUCUCUCUGAGAGGACUAAUUGAAGGGAGGGAUUGCGACCUCGAUGUUGGAUUAAGGUUACUUUCUGGUGCAGCCGUCAGAGUAGUGGGACUGUUCGUCCUUUAAAACCUUACG
RNAcentral lists this ribosomal RNA (480 nucleotides) under Solen vaginoides. RNAcentral's name for it is "partial 16S ribosomal RNA". It matches the Rfam family "Archaeal large subunit ribosomal RNA", at positions 1909 to 2669 of the family's 2987-position model. The record is from RNAcentral. Lineage: Eukaryota; Metazoa; Mollusca; Bivalvia; Adapedonta; Solenidae.